Molecule: long non-coding RNA, 339 nt
Filed under: Apteryx rowi (Okarito brown kiwi)
Lineage: Eukaryota; Metazoa; Chordata; Aves; Apterygiformes; Apterygidae
Description: lncRNA (ENSARWG00000002478.1)
Source: RNAcentral
GUCAACCUGGGAUGCACAGAUCCUGCAGGCCUGUGAAACUGCUCUCAGAGAUCCAUAAAAAUGACUUAGAGAAGCAAGAUCAGGGAGAAAUGCUAGUUUUACUCAGAAGUGGGCUGUUGGUGAGGAUGGAUACUGCCUGUGUUGGUGGUGAUGCUUCAACCCUCCUGUGUGUCUGGAUUCUUGCCUUCUAAGAAAUUUGUUUCUAACACUGCUCACCCAGUGAAUGGCCUGCUGUCGCUGACCUCACUUCAGCUGAGCCAAUCAAAGUGCUUUUGGGUCAAGACUGACUAUCCAAAGUCGUGGAUCUUAGGUAGGUGGGAGCCCCCAGUAGCCGAGUGA